UACGUAGGGUGCAAGCGUUAAUCGGAAUUACUGGGCGUAAGGCGUGCGCAGGCGGCUUUGCAAGACAGAUGUGAAAUCCCCGGGCUUAACCUGGGAACUGCAUUUGUGACUGCAAGGCUAGAGUACGGUAGAGGGGGAUGGAAUUCCGCGUGUAGCAGUGAAAUGCGUAGAUAUGCGGAGGAACACCGAUGGCGGAGGCAAUCCCCUGGACCUGUACUGACGCUCAUGCACGAAAGCGUGGGGAGCAAACAGG
Molecule: ribosomal RNA, 253 nt
Filed under: uncultured bacterium
Lineage: Bacteria
Description: partial 16S ribosomal RNA
Rfam family: Bacterial small subunit ribosomal RNA
Source: RNAcentral